This is an RNA transcript of Camellia sinensis, 1411 nucleotides long. It is a transcript of the gene named DNAJ heat shock N-terminal domain-containing protein, with no coding region annotated. The record is from RefSeq and is a predicted model, not a curated record. Lineage: Eukaryota; Viridiplantae; Streptophyta; Magnoliopsida; Ericales; Theaceae.
UUUCUCUCACACUCUUAUUUUCUCUUCCAUUUUAGCGCACCAGAAAAUGUGGAAGCUGAAGCUACGGUCACCUCUCUCCACAAUCCUCCGCCGAACUCUCCCCUCAGCCUCUCGUCUCUCUAUCGACCCCACUUCGCAGACUCCUCUUUCCACUGCUUUCUCUUCCUUGAUCGGUGAAGAGGAAGAUAGGGUUUUUCGGUUCCGGAGAUGCCAUUUUUUCGGGAAUCUCGUAUUUUCCGGGAAAAAUUUCAGCUCUGAAUCUGCCGAGAAAGUUGUCAUCCGGUGCUGGAACUGUACUUCCGUAGCUCAAACGGCGCCGUUUUUGUCAUGCGAGAAUUGUCGCAGCGUUCAACCUGUUGUUCCCUCGGUUGAUUACUUCCAGAUAUUCGGAUUGGAGAAAAAGUAUGAAAUUGAGGAGGGAAAUCUUGAGGGCAAGUACAAAGAUUGGCAGAAAAAACUGCAUCCCGAUCUUGUUCAUUCUAAAUCUGAGAGAGAAAAAGAGUAUGCUGCUGAACAAUCUGCUCGGGUGAUUGAUGCUUAUCGCACUCUUGCUAAUCCAUUGGCAAGGGCAAUAUACAUUCUGAAGCUUGAAGGAGUGGUUGUGGAUGAAGAAGGAACCAUUUCGGAGCCAGAGCUGCUAGCUGAGAUUUUGGAAAUCAGGGAAGCUGUUGAAGAAACUGCGGACUCCCAGGAAUUAAGACAGAUCCAGGCUCAGAUACAAGAGAAACUGAAGCAUUGGUCUGAAUCCUUUGCAACUGCAUUUCAAAGCCGAAAAUAUGAAGAAGCUCGCACUGCUAUCCAGAGAAUGACUUACUACAAGCGUGUAAAUGAAGAAAUAGUCAAGAAACUUUAAUACACGAGCAUCUCUGAUACAAGGUCUAAUUCCCAUUUCUGCAACUUGGCCUGCUGCUGUUGAAUUCAACUAUUACUUCUUGGUUAGAGAUAUACAUGAGCAGAUGACCAUUGGUGAUGCUCUGAUGUAAUUUUGACGGUUGACCCUCAUUGUUGAGGUAGCUCUACCAGUCAACACUUGGCCUGGAAAUCAGGAAGAAAGUGGAGGAUUCCUAAAUAAGACCCAUUGAUACUUUUCACCAGGUUAAUUUUCUAUCAUCGGACUAGGUUUCGACUCUUUUGGUGUUGUCUAUUGGGUUGAAUAAUGACAUUGCUUCUGGGACCAGGGCAGUUGCCAAGAGCAUUCAGUCUUUGUAAUGGCUAAGUUUGUGCACCUAAUAAAUGGAAAAAAAGAACGUUUGUACGCUUAAUAAUCAUGUUGAUUUGUAAUAAUUUUAGUGACCAUAUGAUAAUUGAUAGCAUGGAUUUCUUUUGGUGGAAACUCUGAACUGAAGGGUUGUGUUUGACAAAGAUAAUGUUCAUGGCUGACUUCAGUGUUAGGUUUUUCAUAUGUUCCUUC